Molecule: transfer RNA, 72 nt
Filed under: Rhizobium phage RHEph10
Lineage: Duplodnaviria; Heunggongvirae; Uroviricota; Caudoviricetes
Description: tRNA-Cys
Rfam family: tRNA (bases 1-52)
About the family: Transfer RNA (tRNA) molecules are approximately 80 nucleotides in length. Their secondary structure includes four short double-helical elements and three loops (D, anti-codon, and T loops). Further hydrogen bonds mediate the characteristic L-shaped molecular structure. tRNAs have two regions of fundamental functional importance: the anti-codon, which is responsible for specific mRNA codon recognition, and the 3' end, to which the tRNAs corresponding amino acid is attached (by aminoacyl-tRNA synthetases). tRNAs cope with the degeneracy of the genetic code in two manners: having more than one tRNA (with a specific anti-codon) for a particular amino acid; and 'wobble' base-pairing, i.e. permitting non-standard base-pairing at the 3rd anti-codon position.
Source: RNAcentral
CACGGGACGGAUUGCAAAUCCGUUCAUGCGGGUUCGAGUCCCGUCUAGCUCUCCAUAAGUAAACUUUGAUUG